This 386-nucleotide long non-coding RNA is filed under the name Androctonus crassicauda. Lineage: Eukaryota; Metazoa; Arthropoda; Arachnida; Scorpiones; Buthidae. The record is from RNAcentral.
GAAAUGGGUAAAACAGCAGCAGAAAGAAAACGAUUGAGCCGAUUGAAACAAACCGAUGAAAAUAGAAAACUAGAGAGAAUGAAGGCAGCAGAAGGAACGAGAAAAUAUCGACAGCUGAAAAAAAAAUGUCAAGACUUACCGGAAGAAAGAAAACGAAGCUGCAAAACUCCGAAUGAGAAAAUUGAGAGAACGACAGAGAAAACGUAUUGAGGAUGAAUCUCAGUCUGGUGUAAGACUGAUAUUCCCUUUUGCAAAUUGCUAGUCAUAUGGCAAAGCACGCAAGAUGGCCAUUUCAGCACUACCCCAUAGGCCUAGUCCAAGAAAAAGAAGAGAACUGAUUUGAAAAACAGAAGAUCAAUGAUGCCUUUCGCUUCAUCGAGCAGGUA